This 350-nucleotide unclassified non-coding RNA is filed under the name soil metagenome. RNAcentral's name for it is "partial contains 5.8S ribosomal RNA, internal transcribed spacer 2, and large subunit ribosomal RNA". The stretch from base 1 to 120 matches the Rfam family "5.8S ribosomal RNA", at positions 35 to 154 of the family's 154-position model. The record is from RNAcentral.
GAUGGAGAACGUAGCGAACUGCGAUAAGUAAUGUGAAUUGCAGAAUUCAGUGAAUCAUCGAGUCUUUGAACGCACAUUGCGCCCCCUGGCAUUCCGGGGGGCAUGCCUGUCCGAGCGUCAUUGCUGCCCUUCAAGCCCGGCUUGUGUGUUGGGUCGUCGUCCCCCCCGGGGGACGGGCCCGAAAGGCAGCGGCGGCACCGCGUCCGGUCCUCGAGCGUAUGGGGCUUUGUCACCCGCUCGAUUAGGGCCGGCCGGGCGCCAGCCGGCGUCUCCAACCUUCUAUUUUACCAGGUUGACCUCGGAUCAGGUAGGGAUACCCGCUGAACUUAAGCAUAUCAAUAAGCGGAGGA